This 398-nucleotide ribosomal RNA is filed under the name Noturus leptacanthus (speckled madtom). RNAcentral describes it as "partial 16S ribosomal RNA". It matches the Rfam family "Bacterial large subunit ribosomal RNA", at positions 1993 to 2558 of the family's 2925-position model. Lineage: Eukaryota; Metazoa; Chordata; Actinopteri; Siluriformes; Ictaluridae. The record is from RNAcentral.
UGAAGGUGAACGAGGGUUUAACUGUCUCCCAUUUUAAGUCAAUGAAAUUGAUCUGCCCGUGCAGAAGCGGACAUACAAAUACAAGACGAGAAGACCCUUUGGAGCUUAAGAUAUAAGACCAACUAUGUCAAUAAACCAAUCAACUAGGUAGUACCUGGUCCCAGUCUUCAGUUGGGGCGACCACGGGAGAAAGUAAAGCUCCCACGCGGACUGGGACAACCAUCCCAAAACCCAGAGAGACAGCUCUAAGUCACAGAACUUCUGACCAAAAGAUCCGGCCAUCCGCCGACCAACGAACCAAGUUACCCUAGGGAUAACAGCGCAAUCCCCUUUCAGAGUCCAUAUCGACAAGGGGGUUUACGACCUCGAUGUUGGAUCAGGACAUCCUAAUGGUGUAG